GUUGGUGGUGCAGCGGUUCGCAUGCGCUCCUGGAAGUAGUGAGACCUGGGUUCGGAUCCCGGCCGAUGCA
This is a non-coding RNA of Parelaphostrongylus tenuis, 70 nucleotides long. Lineage: Eukaryota; Metazoa; Nematoda; Chromadorea; Rhabditida; Metastrongylidae. The record is from the annotation of a GenBank genome assembly.